GACGAACCGCGCGAACGUUGAUCGGAAUCACUGGGCUUAAAGGGCGCGUAGGCGGGCUGUCAAGUCUGGGGUGAAAUCCCACGGCUCAACCGUGGAACUGCCUCAGAUACUGACGGCCUCGAGGGAGGUAGGGGCGAGCGGAACGGGUGGUGGAGCGGUGAAAUGCGUUGAUAUCACUCGGAACUCCGGUGGCGAAAGCGGCUCGCUGGACCUUUUCUGACGCUGAGGCGCGAAAGCUAGGGGAUCAAACGGG
RNAcentral lists this ribosomal RNA (253 nucleotides) under uncultured bacterium. RNAcentral's name for it is "partial 16S ribosomal RNA". It matches the Rfam family "Bacterial small subunit ribosomal RNA", at positions 524 to 776 of the family's 1533-position model. The record is from RNAcentral.